Molecule: long non-coding RNA, 1396 nt
Filed under: Anser brachyrhynchus (Pink-footed goose)
Lineage: Eukaryota; Metazoa; Chordata; Aves; Anseriformes; Anatidae
Description: lncRNA (ENSABRG00000021249.1)
Source: RNAcentral
CCGGUUCCCGCCGCCUUGCUUUUUGCCCGGAUUUGCCGCUUUUCGCCCCGGAAAGUUAACGGCCAGAAGGCAAAGCCGAGGCCGUGGGAUCGGCGCCGCGCACACGCGUGUCCCACUGCACACACGUGUCCCACCGCACACACGUCGUACCGCACACGUGUGUCCCACCGCACACGCGUGUCCCACCCAGCACAUACACGUCCCACCACCCACACGCGUGUCCCAGCACACACACGUGUCACACCCACUGCACACGCGUGUCACACCACCCACACGUGUGACACCACACACGCGUGUCCCAGCACCCACACACGUGUCCCACCACACACACGUGUCCCAGCACACACACACGCGUGUCUCACCACCGCACAUGUGUGUCCCACCACCCACACGUGUGUCACACCCACCACACACACGUGUCGCACCGCACACGUAUGUGUCGCACCACCCACAUACAUGUCCCACCACCCACACGUGUGUCCCACCACACACGUGUGUCACACCCACCACCCAUGCGUGUCCCACCGCACACACGUGUGUCACACCACACACACAUGUCCCACCGCCCACACAUGUCGCACCGCACACACGUCCCACCACAGACGUGUGUCCCACUGCACACACACGUGUCCCACCACCCACACACGUGUCCCAGCACAUGCGUGUGUCACACCACACAUGCACAUGUCACACCACCCACGCGUGUCCCACUGCCCACACGUGUGUCCCAGCACACACGUGUGUGUCACACCGCACACAGACGUGUCCCACCACACAUGUCACACCACCCACAUACAUGUCCCACCACCCACACGUGUCCCAGCACACACAUGUCACACCAUACACGCACGUGUCACACCACCCACAUACAUGUCCCAGCGCCCACACGCGUGUCCCAGCACACCCGCGUGUCCCACUGCCCACACGUGUCCCACCACACACGCGUGUCACACCACACACCCGUGUGUCACACCCACCACCCACGCGUGUCCCACUGCCCACACGUGUCCCACCACCCACACAUGUCCCACCACACGUGUCCCAGCACACAUGUGUGUCCCACCGCCCACGCGUGUCCCACCACCCACACGAGUCCCAGCACCCACACGCGUCCCACCACCCACGGGUGUCCCAGCACAUGCGUGUCCCAGCACACAUGUGUGUCCCACCGCCCACACGUGUCCCACCACCCACACGUGUCCCACCGCCCACACGUGUCCCAGCGCCCACACGUGUCCCACCACCCACGCGUGUCCCACCACACGUGUCCCAGCACACGCGUGUCACACAAUACACGCACGUGUCACACCACCCACAUACAUGUCCCACCGCCCACAUGCGUCCCACCACCCACACGCGUCCCACCACCCACACGUGUCACACCACCCACACGCGU